ACAAAAGGAAAAAGUAUUCAAUCGAGAAGUAAAAAUUAUUUAUAUAAUAUUCCAAAAUGAAAUUUUCAAACGUUCUGUUGACAAUUAUUCUCAUUGUAAGUGUUUUAACAAAUGUUAAAGCUGUUGGUGAAGAGAAAUUAUCUUGCAAAGCAAAAUGCGUACUCUCAUGUAUCUUAAGUAAAACACCUGGUUGCAUGUUUGAUUGUAUGAAACAAUGUCAUCUUCACAUUUCUCUUGAAGAAUUGAAUUGUAAUUCUUCUUGUUCAAUGGAACGUUGCUCUAAAUUUAAAGAAGAUUCAAAGCUAACAGAGAGCUGCUUGGAAGAGUGUUCAACUAAAUAUUGCAAUAAAAAAUUCAUGUAAUUUCAUGCUUGUUGUUUCUUUGCAAAAACAUAAGUGAUGAAAAGAAUUUAAGAUAAAAUUUAUGUUAUAUGUCAUAUUACUCCAAUGUAUUGAUUUAUAUUUUAAUAUAAUAAAGUGGAGCAAUAUUUUUGAUAA
Capsicum annuum is the source of this 497-nucleotide long non-coding RNA. RefSeq lists it as uncharacterized. The record is from RefSeq and is a predicted model, not a curated record. The transcript is spliced from 2 exons. Lineage: Eukaryota; Viridiplantae; Streptophyta; Magnoliopsida; Solanales; Solanaceae.